CAGUCGCCGCGGGAAUACGAGGGGGGCAAGCGUUGUUCGGAAUUAUUGGGCGUAAAGGGUGCGUAGGCGGCUUGACAAGUCUUGUGUGAAAUCUAUGGGCUCAACCCAAAGUCUGCACGGGAAACUGUCGGGCUUGAGAAUGGGAGAGGUGAGUGGAAUUCCUAGUGUAGCGGUGAAAUGCGCAGAUAUUAGGAGGAACACCGGCGGCGAAGGCGGCUUUCUGGAUUGUAACUGACACUGAGGCACGAGAGCGUGGGUAGCAAACAGGAUUAGAUACCCCCGUAGUCCCUGUCUCUUAUAC
RNAcentral lists this ribosomal RNA (301 nucleotides) under uncultured bacterium. RNAcentral describes it as "partial 16S ribosomal RNA". It matches the Rfam family "Bacterial small subunit ribosomal RNA", at positions 509 to 807 of the family's 1533-position model. The record is from RNAcentral.